Molecule: ribosomal RNA, 492 nt
Filed under: uncultured bacterium
Lineage: Bacteria
Description: partial 16S ribosomal RNA
Rfam family: Bacterial small subunit ribosomal RNA
Source: RNAcentral
AGUGAACGCUGGCGGUAGGCCUAACACAUGCAAGUCGAACGGCAGCACAGUAAGAGCUUGCUCUUACGGGUGGCGAGUGGCGGACGGGUGAGGAAUACAUCGGAAUCUACUUUUUCGUGGGGGAUAACGUAGGGAAACUUACGCUAAUACCGCAUACGACCUACGGGUGAAAGCAGGGGAUCUUCUGACCUUGCGCGAUUGAAUGAGCCGAUGUCGGAUUAGCUAGUUGGCGGGGUAAAGGCCCACCAAGGCGACGAUCCGUAGCUGGUCUGAGAGGAUGAUCAGCCACAAUGGAACUGAGACACGGUCCAGACUCCUACGGGAGGCAGCAGUGGGGAAUAUUGGACAAUGGGAGCAAGCCUGAUCCAGCCAUACCGCGUGGGUGAAGAAGGCCUUCGGGUUGUAAAGCCCUUUUGUUGGGAAAGAAAAGCAGCAGGUUAAUACCCCGCUGUUCUGACGGUACCCAACGAAUAAGCACCGGCUAACUUCGUG